Molecule: non-coding RNA, 117 nt
Organism: Acanthosepion pharaonis
Lineage: Eukaryota; Metazoa; Mollusca; Cephalopoda; Sepiida; Sepiidae
Source: the annotation of a GenBank genome assembly
UUUGAAACACCGGUUCCCGUACGAUCACCGAAGUUAAGCAAUAUCAAACGUGGUUAGUACCUAAAUGGUACUGACCAGGCGCAAAUGGUAACCGCUUGGGAAUACCAGGUGCUGUAA